ACACUCCUACGGGAGGCAGCAGUAGGGAAUCUUCCACAAUGGGUGCAAACCUGAUGGAGCAAUGCCGCGUGAGUGAAGAAGGUCUUCGGAUCGUAAAGCUCUGUUGUUAGAGAAGAACACGUGCUAGGUAACUACUAGCGCCUUGACGGUAUCUAACCAGAAAGUCACGGCUAACUACGUGCCAGCAGCCGCGGUAAUACGUAGGUGACAAGCGUUGUCCGGAUUUAUUGGGCGUAAAGGGAGCGCAGGCGGUCUGUUUAGUCUAAUGUGAAAGCCCACGGCUUAACCGUGGAACGGCAUUGGAAACUGACAGACUUGAAUGUAGAAGAGGAAAAUGGAAUUCCAAGUGUAGCGGUGGAAUGCGUAGAUAUUUGGAGGAACACCAGUGGCGAAGGCGAUUUUCUGGUCUAACAUUGACGCUGAGGCUCGAAAGCGUGGGGAGCGAACAGGAUUAGAAACCCGGGUAGUCCC
Molecule: ribosomal RNA, 471 nt
Filed under: uncultured organism
Description: partial 16S ribosomal RNA
Rfam family: Bacterial small subunit ribosomal RNA
Source: RNAcentral